Spirochaeta africana DSM 8902 is the source of this 74-nucleotide transfer RNA. It matches the Rfam family "tRNA". Rfam says of the family: Transfer RNA (tRNA) molecules are approximately 80 nucleotides in length. Their secondary structure includes four short double-helical elements and three loops (D, anti-codon, and T loops). Further hydrogen bonds mediate the characteristic L-shaped molecular structure. tRNAs have two regions of fundamental functional importance: the anti-codon, which is responsible for specific mRNA codon recognition, and the 3' end, to which the tRNAs corresponding amino acid is attached (by aminoacyl-tRNA synthetases). tRNAs cope with the degeneracy of the genetic code in two manners: having more than one tRNA (with a specific anti-codon) for a particular amino acid; and 'wobble' base-pairing, i.e. permitting non-standard base-pairing at the 3rd anti-codon position. Lineage: Bacteria; Pseudomonadati; Spirochaetota; Spirochaetia; Spirochaetales; Spirochaetaceae. The record is from Rfam.
GGGCUCGUAGCUCAGUCGGUUAGAGCACUGCUCUGAUAAGGCAGGGGUCACUAGUUCGAGUCUAGUCGGGCCCA